GACGAACGCUGGUGGCGUGCUUAACACAUGCAAGUCGAACGGGAUUUAGUAAACAGAAGCCUCGGUGGAAGAUUACUAAUGAGAGUGGCGAACGGGUGAGUAACGCGUGAGCAACCUGCCUAUGACAGUGGGAUAGCCUCGGGAAACCGGGAUUAAUACCGCAUAAAAUCGUAGAAACACAUGUUUUAACGGUCAAAGAUUUAUCGGUCAUAGAUGGGCUCGCGUCUGAUUAGCUAGUUGGUGAGAUAACAGCCCACCAAGGCGACGAUCAGUAGCCGGUAUGAGGGGAAGAACGGCAACAUUAGAACUGGGACAAAGCCCAAACCCCCACGGGGGGGAGCAGGGGGGAAUAAUGCAAAAGGGGGGAACCCCUAAUGCAGCGACGCCGGGGAAAAGAAGAGGGUUUUAAUAACGUAAAGUUCUUUCCAAGGGGAAGAUAAUGACAGAACCAAAGAAAAAAGCCCCGGCAAAAUACGG
This 477-nucleotide ribosomal RNA is filed under the name uncultured bacterium. RNAcentral describes it as "partial 16S ribosomal RNA". It matches the Rfam family "Bacterial small subunit ribosomal RNA", at positions 28 to 506 of the family's 1533-position model. The record is from RNAcentral.